GCCACCAUAGCUCAGUCGCAGAGCACUGGUCUUGUAAACCAGGGGUCGUGAGUUCGAUCCUCACUGGUGGCU
RNAcentral lists this transfer RNA (72 nucleotides) under Limulus polyphemus (Atlantic horseshoe crab). Its description in RNAcentral is "tRNA-Thr". It matches the Rfam family "tRNA". From Rfam's summary of the family: Transfer RNA (tRNA) molecules are approximately 80 nucleotides in length. Their secondary structure includes four short double-helical elements and three loops (D, anti-codon, and T loops). The record is from RNAcentral. Lineage: Eukaryota; Metazoa; Arthropoda; Merostomata; Xiphosura; Limulidae.